This is a long non-coding RNA of Dendroctonus ponderosae (mountain pine beetle), 2583 nucleotides long. RefSeq lists it as uncharacterized. The transcript is spliced from 5 exons. The record is from RefSeq and is a predicted model, not a curated record. NCBI's taxonomy places the organism in Eukaryota, Metazoa, Arthropoda, Insecta, Coleoptera, Curculionidae.
AGUAUUAUUAGCAUGCAGUGUGUUUGCCAUAGUGUCAUGUUCAAGUAAAGUGGUUUUCACCUCACCAUUAUUAUUUGAAGUGAUUUGUGUGUUAGUAUGUGAGGACUGUGAUGAAAAAUGCAGUAAGGUAUGAUAAAUAUGUUUACAUUUUUUACAUCCAGAUGAGCUACACUGUUUUGUCAUAUGACCAAAACGCAAACAGUUUAUGCAAAGCUUGUUGGAUUUAGCAGAAUUUAAUCGUUCAGUUGGUGAAAGCUCUAAAAACUUGGGACAUAAAUAAAUCAAGUGAUCCUUUUUACAAAUUGUGCAGCAUGUAGUGUCAGCAACAAACAAGGAUUUUGAGUUUUCCCGUGUAAAAUUGUGUUUAGUGCUUUGAACAUGUUUGUUUGUUUCUGCUAAUGUUUCAUUUUGAGACAUAUAGUUCAUAGCUUCCAAAAUGACUUCGUUGACAAAAUUAUCAGCUUCCCAGGCUCGCCUUGUUGUUUGGUAGAAUUUUGAUGAGAUAAUAUGGAUGAUUAACGCAUCCCAAUGCUCGGUGGGGGAUUUUAAGCACCUUCAAAGCAUCAAUUUGUUUUUGCAAUCCGUCAAAAAGUGUUCGCAAGCCUUGAAAUGAUUCUUGAUCAAGAGACGGUAAGUUUAUGAUUGCACUAAUGUGAUUAUUAACAAGUAAGCGUUUAUUUUCGAAGCAUUUGUAAAGUAAAUCCCAAGCAAUCAGAUAAUGAUCGUUAGAUAUUCCAAGGCAUGAAAGUAAAUCAAAUUAUUAUUGGCAUGAAUCAGUGAAAUAAAUGUGUCUUUAAAAAAGACCCUUGUGUCAUAGGAUAAAUCAAAGGUGGGUAAGUUUAUAGCAGGUAGUUUAACAGAAGAAAGGUCAGUUGUAUUUAAAAGUGGUGUUGAACUAUUAAUAUCAUGAUGAAUACAGUGUGUCUGAUAAUGAUUUGAUUGUCCCAGAAGUAAUUGAGUAAAAAGCAUUUUCAAAAUCCAUUCUAGUUUUAUUAUACUCCUCUGCAUUACUAUCAUAAUCUGAGUCAGAUAAUUCAAUUCUCGAUUGAACCUCAUUGAAAUCAUCCAGCAAACCUUUAGCUUUAGAUAAACGCAAACUCAACGGAGUCCAAGUCUUUUAUACUAUUAAAGUAUGUCUCAAAGCGUGUUAAGCCACUUUUAAUACAUGCUCUUUUAGUUUUAUCUGUCAUUGUUGACAGCAGGAUUUGUCAAAAAAAGUGUGUAGAUUUAUUUAACAAAAUUGGUGUUAAAAUCAAAUUCAAUGAAUCAAAAGAGAAGAUAAGUUCGAGAUUAUGAGGAGAAACAUUAUGCUUGUUGAUUUGUCUCAAUACAAAAUACAAGUCAAGUGAAACUUACCUUGGGUGUUGGAUAAAUGUAAACAAGGAUGUGGGAACUGUAGUCUUCACUGUGCCGCAAUAAGGGCAGCUUGUAGAGGCAAAACCAAAAUUGUCAGGAUAGGUGCUGGAACGGAGAGCUCAAGACCUGUUUCCGCCGGCAAAUAAUGACGAAGUCCGAAAUAUCCGGGGUCGGAGGACCAAUAUGUUGGGAUAUGAUGUCGAAUAUUAUUAGAACUUCACGUUAAAAAGCAAUCUUUUAAAUUGGAGAAACCAUGGGGGCUCACUCAAAUAGUCAAGGUCAGACCAAGAUUUUGAUUGUCGUCAGCGCCACCUAGGCCCUGCUUACAAGGCAACUUACUCAUAAAUGAACGGAACAUCCCCGAGGGGGCGCCAUGGCGACGUUUACAGCGUGGGAGCUGAUUUCAAAGAUGUUGAUUUGCAUUUUUCGCGAGGCGUCUUUUUUGGCAUCAGGGAAAGGCGUUGUUUCUUGCACAAGUUUUUUGCUUUCUGCGACCAAUAAUUUAUUAAAACAUGAGUUUUAGACCUUGUUGUGUGCCUAGCAGUGCAAUGAUAUUUGUUCUAAACGGUGUUCAUUUCCUAGAAGACUCGUAUGUCUUCUUUAAAGAUUACUACAUACGUUAUUCACUCUACAUACUACAUAUAUUUCGAAGGUUUCCAAGGUGCUGCUUCCAUAGAGAAUAGCUUCCUGGCAAAAGACGCUUGGUGCAACCCAUAGUCAAACUAUGCGAUAUUCCUGGACCAUCGGUUGAAUGUUAAUUGUAAGGAAGUGAGAUGUAGAUUUAGCAACCUAUCAAUUUUUAGACUCCAAAGACACUCUUUCCAGGGAGAGCAGAUCAAAUCACACAGCAUCAGCACCUGAAUUGCGUACUCCGAAAAAAAUUAAAGAUGAUAUUCUGGACAGCCCUUUUACAGCUGUCACCAGUACAAAUUCUGCAAGGGCCACACAGUUUCGAGGGUAAGGAGACUUAAUUUGAAAGCAGUAGGAGUUACACAGCAGAAGCAUUUGUCGCCUCGCAACAAAAUUUUGUAUUAGGGCGUAAAGAAUUUGGUACAUCGCCAAUAGGUGAGAAACCUAUAUGUAAUUAUGUUAUCCAUACACAUACCUAAAUAUGUAUCUGCAUUAGUAAUUGUACUAAAUUAAUAAAUUUGUUUUGUUACUUUGAAUUAGGUAUUUAUUUAAUUCCUGAAUUUUUGAUUCAUAACAUGAUUUUGCUUCUUGAGCAAA